GUGGAAAAUAUCCCCAGAGGAGGAGGUCUGAGGGAGCACAAGAGAGAUUCCUGUCGUUUUUCUCUCAAAGACCCUGGCUGGAUAGUUCCCACCUCAUCGAAAUCCAGCAGCAGGUCCCUAGCCAUGCUGGGCGGAGUGCCAUUAGAAAGAAAACUCAGACCCUUCUGCUUUCUCAGCUGUCCUCUGUUCCCACUGGGGUGGUAACAGCUCUGGCAGAUGUGAGAAGCAUCCCAAUCCUUUAAUUAAAAAAAACAAACCAGAAAAUGGGGCAUUACUUGUAAAACUUCAAGGAAGUAAUCUUUCUUCUUGAAGACAUUAAAAGCUUUCCUGGUGUUCUGGU
RNAcentral lists this long non-coding RNA (340 nucleotides) under Lepisosteus oculatus (spotted gar). RNAcentral describes it as "lncRNA (ENSLOCG00000022307.1)". The record is from RNAcentral. Lineage: Eukaryota; Metazoa; Chordata; Actinopteri; Semionotiformes; Lepisosteidae.